This 277-nucleotide ribosomal RNA is filed under the name uncultured bacterium. RNAcentral describes it as "partial 16S ribosomal RNA". It matches the Rfam family "Bacterial small subunit ribosomal RNA", at positions 28 to 295 of the family's 1533-position model. The record is from RNAcentral.
GACGAACGCUGGCGGCGUGCCUAAUACAUGCAAGUCGAGCGAAUCUUGAGGUGCUUGCACCUCUUGGUUAGCGGCGGACGGGUGAGUAACACGUGGGCAACCUGCCUGUAAGACUGGGAUAACACCGGGAAACCGGUGCUAAUACCGGAUAAUCCUUUUUCUCUCAUGAGGAGAAGCUGAAAGUCGGUUUACGCUGACACUUACAGAUGGGCCCGCGGCGCAUUAGCUAGUUGGUGAGGUAACGGCUCACCAAGGCGACGAUGCGUAGCCGACCUGA